RNAcentral lists this ribosomal RNA (775 nucleotides) under uncultured Neocallimastigales. RNAcentral's name for it is "partial large subunit ribosomal RNA". It matches the Rfam family "Eukaryotic large subunit ribosomal RNA", at positions 24 to 649 of the family's 3401-position model. Lineage: Eukaryota; Fungi; Neocallimastigomycota; Neocallimastigomycetes; Neocallimastigales. The record is from RNAcentral.
UAUCUCUGUAGAGUCUGCAUAUCAAUAAGCGGAGGAAAAGAAACUAACAAGGAUUCCCUUAGUAACGGCGAGUGAAGCGGGAAGAGCUCAAAUUUGAAAUCUUCAAGGUUCUACCUUGACGAAUUGUAGUUUAAAGAAGUGUUUUCUGUUAGUGGAGUGGCAAAAGUUCUUUGGAAUAGGACAUCAUAGAGGGUGAGAAUCCCGUAUUUGAUCAUUAUUUCCAGCUUUGUGAUACACUUUCAAAGAGUCGGAUUGUUUGGGAAUGCAGUCCAAAAUGGGUGGUAAAUUUCAUCUAAAGCUAAAUACUGGCGAGAGACCGAUAGCGAACAAGUACCGUGAGGGAAAGAUGAAAAGAACUUUGAAAAGAGAGUUAAACAGUACGUGAAAUUGUCAAAAGGGAAGCGUUUGACACCAGUGUUGUUUUUCCGAAAAUCAAUUACGAAUGUUUUAUUUUUGAGGAGUUAUGACUUCAUCGGCUUGCUCCUUUCUUUACUGGAAACUUUCUUAAUGCACUUUUCGGUUAACAAGUCAACAUCAAUUUCUUUUGUUGUAAAAGAGUAUGAGGAAGGUGGCUUUCUUUUCGGAGAAAGUGUUUAUAGCCUUGUCCUCUGCAAUCGGAGAGAUUGAGGUCUGCAGCGUAGAUCCUUCAGGGUUAGAUACAUUUGUGCUAAGUUAUAGCCUUUCAUAGACAACUUGUUGACUAUGAUCAGUCAUGUAGCUUACUCGCUUAUGCUAUUUUACCUACGCUUAGGAUGUUGAGUAGCGACAUACGCAC